This 476-nucleotide ribosomal RNA is filed under the name uncultured anaerobic ammonium-oxidizing bacterium. Its description in RNAcentral is "bacterial SSU rRNA". It matches the Rfam family "Bacterial small subunit ribosomal RNA", at positions 365 to 832 of the family's 1533-position model. The record is from RNAcentral.
UUCGCAAUGCCCGAAAGGGUGACAAUGCGACGCCGCGUGUGUGAUGAAGGUCUUCGGAUUGUAAAACACUGUCGGCCGGAAGGAAUCUCCGGAGGUUUAACAAAUCUUCGGGGUGACAGUACCGGCAAAGGAAGCCACGGCUAACUCUGUGCCAGCAGCCGCGGUAAUACAGAGGUGGCGAGCGUUGUUCGGAUUUACUGGGCGUAAAGGGCGCGUAGGCGGCGCGGUGUGUCGGGUGUGAAAUCCAUGGGCCCAACCCAUGAAGUGCGCCCGAAACUGCCGCGCUGGAGUGCGGGAGGGGAGAUCGGAAUGCAGGGUGUAGCGGUGAAAUGCGUUGAGAUCGGAAGGAACGCCCGUGGCGAAAGCGAGGUCCUGGACGUCUGCUGACGCUGAGACGCGAAAGCUAGGGGAGCAAACGGGAUUAGAUACCCCGGUAGUCCUAGCCGUAAACGAUGGGCACUAAGUAGAGGGGUUUU